CAGUCGCCACGGUAAUACGGGAGGUGCAAGCGUUAUUCGGAUUGAUUGGGUGUAAAGGGUGUGCAGACGGCUUAUUAAGUCACUUGUUAAAUUCUUCGGCCUAACUGAAGGUCUGCAAGUGAUACUGAUGAGCUAGAGGGUGGAAGAGAGAAGUGGAAUUCUCGGAGUAGCGGUAAAAUGCGUAGAUCUCGAGAGGAACACCAAUGGCGAAGGCAGCUUCUCGGUCCAUUCCUGACGUUCAUACACGAAAGCGUGGGGAGCAAACAGGAUUAGAUACCCCAGUAGUCCCUGUCUCUUAUAC
This 301-nucleotide ribosomal RNA is filed under the name uncultured bacterium. Its description in RNAcentral is "partial 16S ribosomal RNA". It matches the Rfam family "Bacterial small subunit ribosomal RNA", at positions 509 to 807 of the family's 1533-position model. The record is from RNAcentral.